CCUACGGGAGGCAGCAGUGGGGAAUAUUGCACAAUGGGCGCAAGCCUGAUGCAGCGACGCCGCGUGAGGGAUGACGGCCUUCGGGUUGUAAACCUCUUUCAGUAGGGAAGAAGCGUAAGUGACGGUACCUGCAGAAGAAGCGCCGGCUAACUACGUGCCAGCAGCCGCGGUAAUACGUAGGGCGCAAGCGUUAUCCGGAAUUAUUGGGCGUAAAGAGCUCGUAGGCGGUUUGUCGCGUCUGCCGUGAAAGUCCGGGGCUCAACUCCGGAUCUGCGGUGGGUACGGGCAGACUAGAGUGAUGUAGGGGAGACUGGAAUUCCUGGUGUAGCGGUGAAAUGCGCAGAUAUCAGGAGGAACACCGAUGGCGAAGGCAGGUCUCUGGGCAUUAACUGACGCUGAGGAGCGAAAGCAUGGGGAGCGAACAGGAUUAGAUACCCUGGUAGUCCAUGCCGUAAACGUUGGGCACUAGGUGUGGGGGACAUUCCACGUUUUCCGCGCCGUAGCUAACGCAUUAAGUGCCCCGCCUGGGGAGGUACGGCCGCGACGACGUAACUACAANAGAGUUAGUACGGCGUGAGACGUCGCCGACGGACGACGACGAGGGAGAGG
This 609-nucleotide ribosomal RNA is filed under the name uncultured bacterium. RNAcentral describes it as "bacterial SSU rRNA". The stretch from base 1 to 525 matches the Rfam family "Bacterial small subunit ribosomal RNA", at positions 338 to 873 of the family's 1533-position model. The record is from RNAcentral.